AGGGGAGGGCGAGGGCGAGAGAGUUCGGGGUUGAUUACGGUCGAGGUAGGGGAAGAGACGGCUGCUGAUGAAGCGGGAGGCCUCGAGGCUGCCAUGGCUGUCGAAGAAGAGUCUGCGAGCUGAAGAGAAAAGAGGAAGAAGAGAGAAAAAAUAAAAAAUAAUAAAAUAUAAAAAUAAAAAAUAAUUUUUUCCUACAGAAAACAUCAAAAAUUAUAUAAGAAGGAAUAAAAUAAGAAAAUUGCACUAUUAAAAUAAAGUUACACUGUUGUAAAAAAUUGCACUGUUACAAUGAAGUUACAAUGUUUU
RNAcentral lists this long non-coding RNA (306 nucleotides) under Ananas comosus (pineapple). Its description in RNAcentral is "long non-coding RNA (ACOM_LNC036865)". The record is from RNAcentral. Lineage: Eukaryota; Viridiplantae; Streptophyta; Magnoliopsida; Poales; Bromeliaceae.